AUGUAUAUUGGGCAAACCCGUCGAAAGGCGGUGGCGCAAAGCCAAGGGCCUAAGGAGUAAAGAAAUUCUAUGGCAGCCGGUUGCAGCA
Molecule: non-coding RNA, 88 nt
Filed under: Desulforamulus putei
Lineage: Bacteria; Bacillati; Bacillota; Clostridia; Eubacteriales; Peptococcaceae
Also listed under: 1 other name
Description: Desulfotomaculum putei c-di-GMP sequence
Rfam family: c-di-GMP-I riboswitch aptamer
About the family: GEMM was predicted in a large-scale screen for bacterial structured RNA regulatory elements. Genes associated with GEMM are involved in a diverse array of functions, including chemotaxis regulation, signal transduction, secretion and chitin.
Source: RNAcentral